Molecule: long non-coding RNA, 767 nt
Filed under: Homo sapiens (human)
Lineage: Eukaryota; Metazoa; Chordata; Mammalia; Primates; Hominidae
Description: HSALNT0041579
Source: RNAcentral
UGGGCCUGGAUUCUACUAAGGUGCUAAUGAAUUUACAAAGCAAUGGUUGUUCUCAUUUUGAGUAAGUGGAAUAAGGAAGAUGGAAUAUGGAAUCUUAUGACUGAAGGCCGUUCAGUCGAUUCUGGGAGUGAAGCACUGUUGCCACCUACUGUGAAGAGUGCGGUAAUGAUGAUGACAAAGGAAAAUGAACAGAGAGUAAUAAUAGAGUUUUAAAUAAAUUAUGAAGUAAAAAUUAAGCGGAUCCAUCCAUACAAGUUACAGUACUCUUGAACUGAAUUGCCAGUAAAAAUAGUUACUGAAUAGAAUGAACCAGGUCUGCUAGGAGUCCUGUGAAGCCAGGCCUUUGGAGCUGUGGGAAUUUUUUUUUUUUAAUAGAUGGGGUCUUACUAUGUAGCCCAGGCUAGGCUCAAACUCUUGGGCUCAGUGAUCCUCCCCUGUAGCUGAGACUACAAGAAUGCACCACCAUGCCUGGCUAAGGAUCUAUGGGCUUUUAAGAUAGCCUUCCUUGAAGUUUUUGGUUUAGGGAUUUUUUUAUUUUUAUUUUUUUUUGAGACAGGGUCUCGCUGUAUGGCCCAUGCUGGAGUGCAGCUGCGUGAUCACAGUUCACUGCAGACUUGACCUCCUGCAGGUGAUCUUCCCACCUCAGCCUCCAGAAUAGCUAGGACCACAGGUAUAGGUCACCAUGCCUAGCUGAAGGUUUUUGGGUUUUUUUAAAUACACACGUGUACACACAAUUUCCUGAAUUUGUACAUUUUUUUCCCUUCAAC